Molecule: ribosomal RNA, 253 nt
Filed under: uncultured bacterium
Lineage: Bacteria
Description: partial 16S ribosomal RNA
Rfam family: Bacterial small subunit ribosomal RNA
Source: RNAcentral
UACGUAGGGUGCAAGCGUUGUCCGGAAUUAUUGGGCGUAAAGAGCUCGUAGGCGGUCUGUCGCGUCUGGUGUGAAAAUCCAGGGCUUAACCCUGGACCUGCAUCGGGUACGGGCAGACUAGAGUGCGGUAGGGGAGAUCGGAAUUCCUGGUGUAGCGGCGAAAUGCGCAGAUAUCAGGAGGAACACCGGUGGCGAAGGCGGAUCUCUGGGCCGUAACUGACGCUGAGGAGCGAAAGCAUGGGGAGCGAACAGG